Molecule: ribosomal RNA, 501 nt
Filed under: uncultured bacterium
Lineage: Bacteria
Description: partial 16S ribosomal RNA
Rfam family: Bacterial small subunit ribosomal RNA
Source: RNAcentral
AUUGAACGCUGGCGGCAGGCUUAACACAUGCAAGUCGAGCGGGGGAAGGUAGCUUGCUACCGGACCUAGCGGCGGACGGGUGAGUAAUGCUUAGGAAUCUGCCUAUUAGUGGGGGACAACAUCGCGAAAGGGAAGCGAUUACGGCAUACGUCCUACGGGAGAAAGCAGGGGAUCUUCGGACCUUGCGCUAAUAGAUGAGCCUAAGUCGGAUCAGCAAGUGGGUGGGGUAAAGGCCGACCAAGGCGACGAUCUGUAGCGGGUCGGAGAGGAGGAGCCGCCACACUGGGACUGGGACACGGCCCAGACUCCUACGGGAGGCAGCAGUGGGGAAUAUUGGACAAUGGGGGGAACCCUGAUCCAGCCAUGCCGCGUGUGUGAAGAAGGCCUUAUGGUUGUAAAGCACUUUAAGCGAGGAGGAGGCUACUUUAGUUAAUACCUAGAGAUAGUGGACGUUACUCGCAGAAUAAGCACCGGCUAACUCUGUGCCAGCAGCCGCCGUAA